RNAcentral lists this ribosomal RNA (332 nucleotides) under uncultured bacterium. Its description in RNAcentral is "bacterial SSU rRNA". It matches the Rfam family "Bacterial small subunit ribosomal RNA", at positions 568 to 898 of the family's 1533-position model. The record is from RNAcentral.
CGUGUAGGCGGUUUUUUAAGUCUGAUGUGAAAGCCCCGGGCUCAACCUGGGAAGUGCAUUGGAAACUGGGAGACUUGAAUACGGGAGAGGGUAGUGGAAUUCCUGGUGUAGGAGUGAAAUCCGUAGAUAUCAGGAGGAACACCGGUGGCGAAGGCGGCUGCCUGGACCGAUAUUGACGCUGAGACGCGAAAGCGCGGGUAGCAAACAGGAUUAGAUACCCUGGUAGUCCACGCCGUAAACGAUGAGUACUAGGUGUCGCGGGUAUUGACCCCUGCGGUGCCGCAGCUAACGCAUUAAGUACUCCGCCUGGGAAGUACGGCCGCAAGGCUAAA